Long non-coding RNA from Mustela erminea (ermine), 264 nucleotides. RefSeq lists it as uncharacterized. The record is from RefSeq and is a predicted model, not a curated record. The transcript has 3 exons. Lineage: Eukaryota; Metazoa; Chordata; Mammalia; Carnivora; Mustelidae.
AGUGGUGAUGCAACAUGGGGGCUUAAGUGGGAAGAACUUGGGAGGCAGGUGAAGUCCAAGUAGCAGAAGAUUGGGAGGUGAACCUGCAUGGAGGGUGCCCCCGACCUCUUUGGCACAUUGACAACUUCAGACUUUCAACCUACUCUCUGGUCUACUAAUUGGCUGACUUGGCCAUUCUUAUGUUUUGCUUAAAGCAAGUUAAUGCCUGUGGUUCCUGGGUAGUUCAGUUUGUUAAGCAUCUGCCUUCAGCUCAGGUCAUGAUCC